RNAcentral lists this long non-coding RNA (229 nucleotides) under Marmota monax (woodchuck). Lineage: Eukaryota; Metazoa; Chordata; Mammalia; Rodentia; Sciuridae. The record is from RNAcentral.
GGCACUAGUGGACUGCAGUACAGGAACACUAAGGGGAGAGGGGAAGCAGCCCAAGCAAGGGGCCUUCAGUCAACGCCCAGGCAUGCUCUGGGCAACAAGGGCCACCAGAGGCUCAAGCAAGGAGUCAGGACAGGGAAUGGAGAGCCAAGGGCUGGGGCUGGGGCAGGGAGCUCAGGACAGUGGACAAGACUUGGGUGGGAAGGCAGGGGAUCCAACAGGGGCAGUCAGG